Molecule: ribosomal RNA, 301 nt
Filed under: uncultured bacterium
Lineage: Bacteria
Description: partial 16S ribosomal RNA
Rfam family: Bacterial small subunit ribosomal RNA
Source: RNAcentral
CAGCCGCCGCGGGAAUACAGAGGGUGCAAGCGUUAAUCGGAAUUACUGGGCGUAAAGCGCGCGUAGGUGGUUCGCCAAGUUGGAUGUGAAAUCCCCGGGCUCAACCUGGGAACUGCAUCCAAAACUGGCGAGCUAGAGUAUGGUAGAGGGUGGUGGAAUUUCCUGUGUAGCGGUGAAAUGCGUAGAUAUAGGAAGGAACAUCAGUGGCGAAGGCGACCACCUGGACUGAUACUGACACUGAGGUGCGAAAGCGUGGGGAGCAAACAGGAUUAGAUACCCCCGUAGUCCCUGUCUCUUAUAA